Long non-coding RNA from Bombus terrestris (buff-tailed bumblebee), 1318 nucleotides. RefSeq lists it as uncharacterized. The record is from RefSeq and is a predicted model, not a curated record. Lineage: Eukaryota; Metazoa; Arthropoda; Insecta; Hymenoptera; Apidae. The transcript has 2 exons.
CUUUAAGUUCAACAAGAUUCAUUUUAACAAUUUCAUGUAUACAGGGUGUCCCAGCAACUGUGUUACAAUCAGCAAUAGGGUGAUUUUACGUGAACAAACAAGUCGAAACUAUAGAACAAAAUUUGUUAGUAUGAUGCCUCGUUCUGGAGAAAAUUUAAUUACAGAAUUUGUAAAGUAUACUUAAACUUGGCUAAUUACAGACUAGGUCUCGUUUUCAAGAAAAUAAAAGUUACUUAUGAAUUGGCCUAGUACACAUAAUAUAUUUCUAAAUUUUACGAACAUAUACUAUUCUUUAUCUUUCGCUUAUUUUCACAUGUAGAAUAAUUUCCUGUCGAUUAUUUACUUCUGUUUAAUGCGGGAUCGGCCGAGUUCAAGUAUAUUUGACAAAUUUUCAACCUCGAUUUUCUCGAAAACGAAACGUCAUAUGAAUAAAUUUUAUUCUAUAUUAUCGACUUGUUUUUUCAUGUAGAAUCACCCUAUUGCCGAUUGCAACAUAGUCGCUGCAACACCCUGUAUGUACGAAUUAUCGAAGUCAUGCGUGUGUCGCCUUUUCCUCUCUGUCUCUUUCACCACUUUCGUUUUUUCCGCUCCUUUGUAUACAACUAUGCACGAAUGGAUUUCUGCUGCCUAUUUCGGUCAAUUAAACGGAUAGCAUGACAUCAGACGGUUGCUCGUAUUGCAGCCAGCAUUCCUAUCAAUUUAUGGUUACAGGGGUGGGGGGUGGACACCCUUUUAUUACAACGAAACCUCGUUUCCUCGUUUUUAAAUGUUUUGCACUUCCCCGUUGUUUCGAACAUUUUACUAGAAGGACCAAAGCUUUUUUUCCCCACUAUAGAGAUUUCUAGUUUAUCUACGAUGUUUAUUACCUAAGGAAAAUAAACUUCAAUAAAGCGAUUUCGUGUCCCAUUUUUGCCCCGUAAAUUUGACAGAAUGUUAUCGAUUAAUUAUUUAUAUCUUAUGGCUAAUCCGCUGCGAUUCUAUCUCCCGGUUUACUAAAACUGUAUUGGGCCGGUUGUCAUUAAAUGUACUGUAUAUAAUAUCCCCUCGAUCUAAUCCAUGCAUUAAACAUACCGUAUGUAUAUAUAUAUUCUCUUUUUUCCUUUUUUUUUUUUUUUUCACUUUGCCGCACUAUUUUUAGAGUUUUUAAUUAUAGUAAUAAAAAGGAACAACAAAUUUAUCUUCGAGUGCAUCCCACAUGCUUUAAUGAUUUAAUGUGUGCACUAGUGAUUUUAUCAGGUUUAAAUAUCGCUUGUAUACUUUUUAAUAAUAUUUAUUUUAGUAUUGUUAUUAAUCUAUACAGUAGAUCUUUUUAAUUAAA